RNAcentral lists this ribosomal RNA (230 nucleotides) under Clostridioides difficile. RNAcentral describes it as "partial 23S ribosomal RNA". It matches the Rfam family "Bacterial large subunit ribosomal RNA", at positions 2693 to 2925 of the family's 2925-position model. The record is from RNAcentral. Lineage: Bacteria; Bacillati; Bacillota; Clostridia; Peptostreptococcales; Peptostreptococcaceae.
CGGGAGGGACGUACCACUGGUGUUCCAGUUGUCCUGUGAAGGUGAUGGGUGGGUAGCUAUGGACGAAAUGGAUAAGCGCUGAAAGCAUCUAAGCGCGAAGCCAACUUCAAGAUAAGAUUUCCCACCGAAAGGGUAAGACCCCAGAAAUACUAUCUGGUUGAUAGUUCGAAGGUGUAAGUGCAGCAAUGUAUUUAGCGUAUCGAUACUAAUAGGUCGAGGACUUGACCAAU